GGGGGUUAGAGGUUUUAUCAAUUUGAAAUUGAUUAGUUUUAAUUUCAUUCCUU
This 53-nucleotide transfer RNA is filed under the name Trichodes leucopsideus. RNAcentral's name for it is "tRNA-Ser". Lineage: Eukaryota; Metazoa; Arthropoda; Insecta; Coleoptera; Cleridae. The record is from RNAcentral.